UCUCGUCAAAGCCCCCGUUGAGGGAGGAAGGCUCUUGGGUUGUAAACCUCUUUUCUCUGGGAAGAACAAAAUCCUUGCAACCAGAGGAAUCAGCAUCGGCUAACUCCGUGCCAGCCGCCUCGGUAAGACGGAGGAUGCAAGCGUUAUCCGGAAUGAUUGGGCGUAAAGCGUCCGCAGGUGGCAAUUCAAGUCUGCUGUUAAAGCGCAGGGCUUAACUCUGUAAAGGCAGUGGAAACUGAAUAGCUAGAGUGUGGUAGGGGUAGAGGGAAUUCCCAGUGUAGCGGUGAAAUGCGUAGAGAUUGGGAAGAACAUCGGUGGCGAAGGCGCUCUACUGGACCAUAACUGACACUCACAGGACGAAAGCUA
Molecule: ribosomal RNA, 366 nt
Filed under: Oscillatoria sp. T18
Lineage: Bacteria; Bacillati; Cyanobacteriota; Cyanophyceae; Oscillatoriales; Oscillatoriaceae
Description: bacterial SSU rRNA
Rfam family: Bacterial small subunit ribosomal RNA
Source: RNAcentral